GAGAUCCCUGCCUCUAGUUGCCACCAUUACUCUCAGGAGUAGUGGGGCGAAUUAGCGGGACCGCCGCAGUUAAUGCGGAGGAAGGAAGGGGCCACGGCAGGUCAGUAUGCCCCGAAACUCUGGGGCCACACGCGGGCUGCAAUGGUAGUGACAAUUGGUUCCGAAUCCGAAAGGAGGAGGUAAUCCUCAAACGCUACCACAGUUAUGACUGAGGGCUGCAACUCGCCCUCACGAAUAUGGAAUCCCUAGUAACUGCGUGUCAUUAUCGCGCGGUGAAUAC
RNAcentral lists this ribosomal RNA (280 nucleotides) under uncultured crenarchaeote. RNAcentral describes it as "partial 16S rRNA". It matches the Rfam family "Archaeal small subunit ribosomal RNA", at positions 1047 to 1325 of the family's 1478-position model. Lineage: Archaea; Thermoproteati; Thermoproteota. The record is from RNAcentral.